RNAcentral lists this ribosomal RNA (888 nucleotides) under uncultured Lysobacterales bacterium. RNAcentral describes it as "bacterial SSU rRNA". It matches the Rfam family "Bacterial small subunit ribosomal RNA", at positions 509 to 1397 of the family's 1533-position model. The record is from RNAcentral. Lineage: Bacteria; Pseudomonadati; Pseudomonadota; Gammaproteobacteria; Lysobacterales.
CAGCAGCCGCGGUAAUACGAAGGGUGCAAGCGUUAAUCGGAAUUACUGGGCGUAAAGGGUGCGUAGGCGGUUUGUUAAGUCUGUCGUGAAAUCCCCGGGCUCAACCUGGGAAUGGCGAUGGAUACUGGCAAGCUAGAGUGUGUCAGAGGAUGGUGGAAUUUCCGGUGUAGCGGUGAAAUGCGUAGAGAUCGAAGGGACAUCAGUGGCGAAGGCGGCCAUCUGGGACAACACUGACGCUGAAGCACGAAAGCGUGGGGAGCAAACAGGAUUAGAUACCCUGGUAGUCCACGCCCUAAACGAUGCGAACUGGAUGUUGGUCUCAACUCGGAGAUCAGUGUCGAAGCUAACGCGUUAAGUUCGCCGCCUGGGGAGUACGGUCGCAAGACUGAAACUCAAAGGAAUUGACGGGGGCCCGCACAAGCGGUGGAGUAUGUGGUUUAAUUCGAUGCAACGCGAAGAACCUUACCUGGCCUUGACAUGUCUGGAAUCCUGCAGAGAUGCGGGAGUGCCAUCGGGAAUCAGAACACAGGUGCUGCAUGGCUGUCGUCAGCUCGUGUCGUGAGAUGUUGGGUUAAGUCCCGCAACGAGCGCAACCCUUGUCCUUAGUUGCCAGCACGUAAUGGUGGGAACUCUAAGGAGACUGCCGGUGACAAACCGGAGGAAGGUGGGGAUGACGUCAAGUCCUCAUGGCCCUUACGGCCAGGGCUACACACGUACUACAAUGGUCGGUACAGAGGGUUGCAAUACCGCGAGGUGGAGCCAAUCCCAGAAAGCCGAUCCCAGUCCGGAUCGGAGUCUGCAACUCGACUCCGUGAAGUUGGAAUCGCUAGUAAUCGCGGAUCAGCUAUGCCGCGGUGAUACGUUCCCGGGCCUGUACACACCGCCCGU